AACGAGGCCGACCUGCGGCUGAGUUACCUGCGGAGGGAUCAUUACAGAGUUCAUGCCCUCACGGGUAGAUCUCCCACCCUUGAAUACUAUACCUUUGUUGCUUUGGCGGGCCGCUUUGGCUACUGGCUCUGGCUAGUAAGUGCCCGCCAAAGAACCCCAAAACUCUGAAUAUUAGUGUCGUCUGAGUACUAUAUAAUAGUUAAAACUUUUAACAAUGGAUCUCAGAUCGGAAGAGCACAC
Molecule: unclassified non-coding RNA, 240 nt
Filed under: soil metagenome
Description: partial contains 5.8S ribosomal RNA, internal transcribed spacer 2, and large subunit ribosomal RNA
Source: RNAcentral